Carassius auratus (goldfish) is the source of this 753-nucleotide long non-coding RNA. RefSeq lists it as uncharacterized. NCBI's taxonomy places the organism in Eukaryota, Metazoa, Chordata, Actinopteri, Cypriniformes, Cyprinidae. The transcript is spliced from 5 exons. The record is from RefSeq and is a predicted model, not a curated record.
UGUGAGCGCGCGUGCGUCUGAUGUUGCUAAAAAUCCAUUGGCUGGCAUCUCUGUGGUGGAAUGCUGCUGGGACCCCCUUCUAACCUCCUCUCAACCCUCCCCUUGAGUCCACCCAUCCACCCAUUAGGAAUUCCAGCAGGGCACUGUGGGUGGGAUGAAUGGCAUGAGAGCCAAGGAAAUGAAGUUCAGAGGGAUUGGCGUACAGUUAGGCCUCAUCAAGAUCUAUGAGAUCUACUGUCCACUUGAUUGAAGGCCAGGAGUGACAUAUCAGCUGUGGAACGUGUGAGCUUUGCUUUAGUGUGUUGGUCUGAAUUGGGGAAAAUGCAUCUGAGGGAUCCCGGAGCCCAAUCCAAACAUCUGUCUGUUUCACCUCUGCGUCUCUUGAGGGAGUCGUGCAUAUCUUCAUCUAGAAGAGAGUUCGGAUCUCUGAGUCAUCAAAACGGAGCGCCAGCAUUGUGAUUGAACUGUACAAAAACAGGAUUGUGGGUAAAAAAAGAAACACCACACAAGCACAAAAGCUGACUUAUGAAUCACACGCAUUAAUCUGCGAAUGUAUGACUCACUGGAUUUUUUUUGAGAAGCGCAAACUUGUUUCAAUGGUAACAGAAGGGAAAACGUGAGUGAAGUUUUAUGGUUUAUCGCAGGCCAAAAGCAUACUUGGAAAAGUGUCGUUUUGUUAUUAUUUAUAUACCAAUGUAGUUUUUAAUGUUUUAUAAUAUUAUUAGUUUUUCGUUUGCUAUUUAGAUUAUUUAU